This is a long non-coding RNA of Zea mays, 294 nucleotides long. RefSeq lists it as uncharacterized. The transcript is spliced from 3 exons. NCBI's taxonomy places the organism in Eukaryota, Viridiplantae, Streptophyta, Magnoliopsida, Poales, Poaceae. The record is from RefSeq and is a predicted model, not a curated record.
ACCAUGCUUCCUGAAUGCAUUGCGGAGGAGGCUGUGGUUUUGCUAUUAUGCAUAUACUUUUGCUGUGCCCAUCAGGAUUGUGUAGCUGCCAUAUGUCGCCAAUUGGAUUGUGUAAUAGCGGAUACUUGACCUUUGUAGCUGGAUUUUGCUAAACAGAACUUCUCAAGGGCCCGCUGUAUUAUGCCUGUGCUAUAACUCUGACAACAAUAGUUUUCUGGAGGACAUCUCCCAUCUCAAUCGCGGUGAUCUGCAAUUUGUGUGCCGGAGAUGGUGUUGCUGACAUAGCUAGGAGAC